RNAcentral lists this ribosomal RNA (305 nucleotides) under uncultured bacterium. Its description in RNAcentral is "bacterial SSU rRNA". It matches the Rfam family "Bacterial small subunit ribosomal RNA", at positions 337 to 659 of the family's 1533-position model. The record is from RNAcentral.
CCCUACGGGGCGCAGCAGUGGGGAAUAUUGGACAAUGGGGGGAACCCUGAUCCAGCGACGCCGCGUGAGUGAAGAAGUAUUUCGGUAUGUAAAGCUCUAUCAGCAGGGAAGAAAAUGACGGUACCUGACUAAGAAGCCCCGGCUAACUACGUGCCAGCAGCCGCGGUAAUACGUAUGGGGCAAGCGUUAUCCGGAUUUACUGGGUGUAAAGGGAGCGUAGGCGGCAGGGCAAGCCUGAUGUGAAAGCCCGGGGCUCAACCCCGGGACUGCAUUGGGAACUGCCCUGCUGGAGUGCCGGAGGGGCG